GAGAAGAUUGGUUAGAAGGAGCUAUGAGUAGCAAGAAGGAGAAGGAAAACUUACCGAUCUUUGGAGGACCAGAGGAGCACCUUUAGGUAUGGUUUCUUUGUAGAUUUCUUUUUUAUUCUCCUCAUCACCCUAUUCCUUGUUCAUCUCUUGCUGUUUCUGGAUAUUCAUUUGUUGAUUUUGGGCAUGAAUGAUAGACGAUCGAAUAUUUAU
Molecule: long non-coding RNA, 210 nt
Filed under: Vitis vinifera (wine grape)
Lineage: Eukaryota; Viridiplantae; Streptophyta; Magnoliopsida; Vitales; Vitaceae
Description: long non-coding RNA (VVIN_LNC000135)
Source: RNAcentral